UACGUAGGGUGCAAGCGUUGUCCGGAAUUAUUGGGCGUAAAGAGCUCGUAGGCGGUUCGUCGCGUCGGCUGUGAAAACCCGGAGCUCAACUCCGGGCCUGCAGUCGAUACGGGCGGACUUGAGUGUUGCAGGGGAGACUGGAAUUCCUGGUGUAGCGGUGAAAUGCGCAGAUAUCAGGAAGAACACCCGUGGCUAAGGCGGCUCUCUGGUACGGUACUGACGCUGAGACGCGAAAGCGUGGGGAGCGAACAGG
RNAcentral lists this ribosomal RNA (253 nucleotides) under uncultured bacterium. RNAcentral's name for it is "partial 16S ribosomal RNA". It matches the Rfam family "Bacterial small subunit ribosomal RNA", at positions 524 to 776 of the family's 1533-position model. The record is from RNAcentral.